This 1178-nucleotide unclassified non-coding RNA is filed under the name Hevea brasiliensis (rubber tree). The record is from RNAcentral. Lineage: Eukaryota; Viridiplantae; Streptophyta; Magnoliopsida; Malpighiales; Euphorbiaceae.
AAAGACCGGAGCCCUGUUAUGCAGGUUAGUUUCAUACUUUCUGUUCUGUUAUUUGGAAGCAAUUAAAACAAAUGGAAAUUUAAUGUUGCCUGGAUAAGUUUAACAAUUGCUCUUGAAAUAUUAAGAGAAUGAACCUAGGAUAAAUGGCAAUCUUUCUGUUUGAGGAUAGUGGGCCUUAAUUGCAAAGCUUGGACUUGGAGGUAAUGAAAGGUUUCAUUCCUUGAUAGAUAACAUUGAUGGGAUUGGAUUAUCAUGUGAUGGUUAUAAAGAUAUGUUAGUAUCUUGGCUUCAAGGAUAAUCAUUUCUACUUACUGCUAUGCGGUAAUAAAUUAAUUGAUGUUUCUAUGCUGGCUGGCUUUUGCCAACAAAUGAAAAAUAGAUAAAAAUCUAACUUUUAGGUGUACUUUGAUUCCACAGAAGAGUGAGCACUUCUGUUGCUCAAAGUUGGCACUAGCUUUGAAGCAUUCAUUUGUGGUAGGUGACUUAUAGAUACUUGACUAAGCCAGUCAAGAAAAGGAAAACCUUGAUAAAAAUCUCAUGAGAAGCCAUUGGCUGCAAGUGGAUUUACCAUAGUUGCCUCUUCGCUCCAGUAAGCCUACUGGUCUACUAUCUUCAAGGUUUGAUGGUGAAGCUCCAGCUGGAGUGUCGUUGGAAACUUGUGUAGGCUUUAGUUCAUCAAUGAAGUACAACUUAAGUGCUUAAUAUAUAUCAAGUCAAGUGGCAAAUUUUGCAAUAUACCAUAUGGCAAUCAUGAUGCCUAUGUUUACCAAUUUGAGGCACUUUUAUGCCAGCAGUAGCAUAAUUUGAUCUUGAUUUAGUUGUCUGUAUGAAAUUUAUAGUGGAUUAGUGUUAAAUUAUUAAUUCUCAAUUCUUUUGCUCUUUAUGCUGAAUAUGGUGUCGAUAUUAUGAAAUUUUUGAGGUGUUUUGUUAUUCCUUUUUAGCCAUUAUUGUUUGUACAAUUUGUAUUCACCUCAAUUUAUUUCUUGAUUCAGUAGAAGGGUACUAUUGUGCAAUCAAACCAUAUUGUCCAACUUCCGUUUUGCUACUUCCUUUAGUAUCGUUUUUUAACUUGAUUGUUGAGUUCUAGAAUCAUUGGCCACUAGACUCUUCUUUAUUUCACCAUCAGUUAAGGAUUGUGUUUGUCUUCUGGCACUAGCUUUAUACAAGGGAUGCAUCGA